This 88-nucleotide transfer RNA is filed under the name Pseudomonas sp. o96-267. RNAcentral's name for it is "tRNA-Ser". It matches the Rfam family "tRNA". Rfam says of the family: Transfer RNA (tRNA) molecules are approximately 80 nucleotides in length. Their secondary structure includes four short double-helical elements and three loops (D, anti-codon, and T loops). Lineage: Bacteria; Pseudomonadati; Pseudomonadota; Gammaproteobacteria; Pseudomonadales; Pseudomonadaceae. The record is from RNAcentral.
GGAAGCGUGGCCGAGCGGUUUAAGGCAACGGUCUUGAAAACCGUCGAUGGGUAACUAUCCGUGAGUUCGAAUCUCACCGCUUCCGCCA